RNAcentral lists this ribosomal RNA (759 nucleotides) under Haemophilus influenzae. RNAcentral describes it as "bacterial SSU rRNA". It matches the Rfam family "Bacterial small subunit ribosomal RNA", at positions 28 to 776 of the family's 1533-position model. The record is from RNAcentral. Lineage: Bacteria; Pseudomonadati; Pseudomonadota; Gammaproteobacteria; Pasteurellales; Pasteurellaceae.
AUUGAACGCUGGCGGCAGGCUUAACACAUGCAAGUCGAACGGUAGCAGGAGAAAGCUUGCUUUCUUGCUGACGAGUGGCGGACGGGUGAGUAAUGCUUGGGAAUCUGGCUUAUGGAGGGGGAUAACGACGGGAAACUGUCGCUAAUACCGCGUAUUAUCGGAAGAUGAAAGUGCGGGACUGAGAGGCCGCAUGCCAUAGGAUGAGCCCAAGUGGGAUUAGGUAGUUGGUGGGGUAAAUGCCUACCAAGCCUGCGAUCUCUAGCUGGUCUGAGAGGAUGACCAGCCACACUGGAACUGAGACACGGUCCAGACUCCUACGGGAGGCAGCAGUGGGGAAUAUUGCGCAAUGGGGGGAACCCUGACGCAGCCAUGCCGCGUGAAUGAAGAAGGCCUUCGGGUUGUAAAGUUCUUUCGGUAUUGAGGAAGGUUGAUGUGUUAAUAGCACAUCAAAUUGACGUUAAAUACAGAAGAAGCACCGGCUAACUCCGUGCCAGCAGCCGCGGUAAUACGGAGGGUGCGAGCGUUAAUCGGAAUAACUGGGCGUAAAGGGCACGCAGGCGGACUUUUAAGUGAGGUGUGAAAUCCCCGGGCUUAACCUGGGAAUUGCAUUUCAGACUGGGAGUCUAGAGUACUUUAGGGAGGGGUAGAAUUCCACGUGUAGCGGUGAAAUGCGUAGAGAUGUGGAGGAAUACCGAAGGCGAAGGCAGCCCCUUGGGAAUGUACUGACGCUCAUGUGCGAAAGCGUGGGGAGCAAACAGG